Molecule: long non-coding RNA, 285 nt
Filed under: Mytilus galloprovincialis (Mediterranean mussel)
Lineage: Eukaryota; Metazoa; Mollusca; Bivalvia; Mytilida; Mytilidae
Source: RNAcentral
GUAUAUUACUAGCUUCAUCUUUUGACUUAGUCAGAUUUUAAGGGAUUGAGGCACCAGCAUGAUUGGCAGUUAUUGUAUGAUUUGACUGUAUUGGCCAUUAUUAUGAAAGAUUCUGACAUGGAAUCCAGAAAUUUAGUUCACAAUUUCUCUUCAGUUUGUUCCAGGGGUCAUUCCUGAUCAACAAAAGUUGGAUUCUAUUUUUUUUAAACAAGGAAUCACAGCAGAAAUUAAUUUGCAAUAAUUAUUUCACUGCAUAAUCAUUAUCCUUAUAAAACGUCUAAGUCG